This 73-nucleotide transfer RNA is filed under the name Ixodes scapularis (black-legged tick). RNAcentral's name for it is "tRNA-Gln". It matches the Rfam family "tRNA". Rfam says of the family: Transfer RNA (tRNA) molecules are approximately 80 nucleotides in length. Their secondary structure includes four short double-helical elements and three loops (D, anti-codon, and T loops). Lineage: Eukaryota; Metazoa; Arthropoda; Arachnida; Ixodida; Ixodidae. The record is from RNAcentral.
GGUCUCAUGGUGUAAUGGUUAAGCACUCUGGACUUUGAAUCAAGCGAUCCGAGUUCAAAUCUCGGUGAGACUU